UCUCGUCAGGAUUGCUUCACAGUGCUACAGCAAUGACCAUCAAACGCACUCUCCAUACAGGCCAGGCACAGUGAGGACAAUGGCUAUACUGCCUAAUGUUUACUGGGCAGAUGGUCAGCUCUGUGAGAGAGAUGGUGUGGGGAUGAGAAUCUGAAAGAGAGCCUGCGUGAAAUGAAUCAACGGAGAUGGAGGAGAGGCGCACUGCUUAUUUCACCUGCAGCAAGCCUCGCUAUAGUUACAGCCUCCUAACUCCAUGCACACAGAGAAGGGAUGAUUUGUGGGGGAAGAAAAAGGCAAGAGAAGAAAAGAAAAGUCGAAGAGCAAGGGGCAGGCAUCGUGUGGGGGAGAAGAGAAAUGAUUCUGUGCAACGAGUUCGG
Long non-coding RNA from Pygocentrus nattereri (red-bellied piranha), 377 nucleotides. RefSeq lists it as uncharacterized. The record is from RefSeq and is a predicted model, not a curated record. The transcript has 3 exons. NCBI's taxonomy places the organism in Eukaryota, Metazoa, Chordata, Actinopteri, Characiformes, Serrasalmidae.